GGCAGGGCAGCUUCGGAAGCAGAAUUGAACCAAGGGGACAGUACCACCAGGGACGGUGUGGUGCGGGGAGCUUUCCAGAAGAGGGAGCAGCUCGUUCAAAGCCAGCAGCAUGUGAGGGCUGGGUGUCUUCUGAUGGUCCCUGGUUGCUCUGUGAGCCUGGGGAAUGAAGAGGCAUAACGUGGGGGCUGAAGACAACAUGAGUCCGGAGAGGCAGGUGGGCCAGUACCUGGCUCACCCCAAGGAGUGUGACUGCCCGAGCACGUGGCCCUGGGAGGGAACACAUUGCUAGCAUGCAACAGCAGCAGGAAUAAUGGCUGCUGCUUCUGCGGUUCGUGCUGACCAGGACUGUGCUAAGUGCUUUAGAUUUUUCUUUCAUCCUUGCAGCGACUCCGUGCAGUUAGAGGAGCCUGAGCUGUUUCCAGGGGAGGGGGCUCACCCAAGGUCUCAGGGAUUUGAACCUGCCAGACUGGCUAAGCUCUUCACCUGUGUGCUGUGUUGCUCAAGCCCCUGACCGUGUCCUUCUUGGAGUCUGGAAAAAGCAUGGGAAGGAGGGCAAGGGAGAGUUUGGGGGCUGGGGGAAGGAGCUUGUGAAGUAGGCUUCAGGGCAGGGAGAUGGGGCCUCACGAUGAUCUCGUUCUCUCUCUGUCCCCUUUACAGCCCUGGCAGGUGCCCGGCCCGCCCCCCACCCUCCGGCUCCCAGGGCCUGCUGGAGGAGAUGUUGGCAGCCAGCAGCUCCAAGGCGGUGGCUCGGAGGGAGUCAGCGGCCUCGGGCCUUGGGGGCCUGUUGGAGGAGGAAGGAGCCGGGGCAGGUGCUGCCCAAGAGGAGGUGCUGGAGCCUGGCAGGGACUCUCCACCCUCCUGGAGGCCCCAGCCUGAUGGUGAGGCCAGCCAGACAGAAGACGUGGAUGGCACCUGGGGCUCUUCAGCAGCCAGGUGGAGCGAUCAGGAGCCAGCACAGACUUCUCGGCGACCCUCCCAAGGCCCUCCUGCCAGAUCCCCCAGUCAGGACUUCUCCUUCAUUGAGGACACCGAGAUCCUCGACAGUGCCAUGUAUCGGAGCCGUGCCAACUUGGGGCGCAAGCGUGGGCACCGGGCCCCGGCCAUUCGGCCUGGGGGUACCUUGGGCCUGUCAGAGGCAGCAGACUCGGAUGCACGCCUGUUCCAGGACUCUACAGAGCCACGGGCAUCUCGGGUGCUAUCUUCAGAUGAAGAGGUAGUGGAGGAACCUCAGAGCCGCCGGACACGGAUGUCGUUGGGCACCAAGGGGCUGAAAGUCAACCUCUUUCCUGGCCUGAGCCCCUCAGCCCUGAAGGCCAAGCUGCGCCCCCGGAAUCGCUCAGCUGAGGAGGGAGAGCUGGCUGAGAGCAAGUCGAGCCAGAAGGAGUCCGCGGUCCAGCGUUCGAAAUCCUGCAAGGUCCCAGGACUGGGAAAGCCCCUCACGUUACCUCCCAAGCCAGAGAAAUCCUCAGGGUCAGAAGGAUCGUCGCCCAACUGGCUUCAAGCCCUGAAACUGAAGAAGAAGAAGGUCUGAGAAGUCACUGAGGUUCUUCCCACCUGGCAGUCUCAGGCAGUGCCCAUUCCUGUGGGGUCCCUGGGUGAGGAGACGGCUGGAGCCCCACCAUGCCCCAGGCUGCAGCCUCUGUCCCUUCCACCUCUGAGGAGCGUCUGGGGAGGCACAUUUAUGCACUUUGUAUCACCUUCCGAACUCCCCCCACACCUUCCCUUCCCUGGAUUUCAUCACUAGUGGUUGAAGGUUUUGUCCCUUCCUCUCCUCCUUCCCUCUCCCUCUCUGCUUCCUCCUCCAGCCUCCCUUGGGUUUUCUUUUGAUACCAAUUUAUAGCAUUUUUUAUAAAAGCCUUUGAUUUUUAUAAUGGGUGGGACUGUAUCCCUGCCUCACCCCAGGUCUCCCUCUGCCCCGCCAGGUACCCCACAGAGACCAAUGACAUUUU
Molecule: small RNA, 1949 nt
Filed under: Pan troglodytes (chimpanzee)
Lineage: Eukaryota; Metazoa; Chordata; Mammalia; Primates; Hominidae
Description: retained intron
Source: RNAcentral